RNAcentral lists this transfer-messenger RNA (376 nucleotides) under Burkholderiales. RNAcentral describes it as "JAEUPI01 sp008933545 Standard tmRNA". It matches the Rfam family "transfer-messenger RNA". Rfam says of the family: Bacterial tmRNA, also known as 10Sa RNA or SsrA, is named for its dual tRNA and mRNA-like properties. RNAcentral also lists the same sequence under 2 other names. Lineage: Bacteria; Pseudomonadati; Pseudomonadota; Betaproteobacteria. The record is from RNAcentral.
GGGGCCGACCUGGCUUCGACGUGGGUGCGGAGUCGGAUCAGGGCAUGCCGAGCGCCAGAUCAGCUCGUUAAUCCAGCUGGAACGAAGUAACUGCGAACGACGAACGUUUCGCCCUCGCCGCCUAAAAACCGGUGAGCCUCGCAACGGCAGGCCGAUGGGCCGGGCCGAAACCCGCAAGGGCAAGGCUGCGAGGUCAUCCACAUCGGCUGGUGGUGCGCCGGGUCACUUGGCGCAUCGCGAGACUCAAGGUGACUGGCCGACCCGAUAGCGUGCUGCUGCGCGAUCGGAGAGGCGAGAGCCAAAUCAGACAGCUACGCAUGUAGAACUGGCCGGCGAUGGCUUGCGGACGGGGGUUCGAUUCCCCCCGGCUCCACCA